Molecule: ribosomal RNA, 420 nt
Filed under: uncultured archaeon
Lineage: Archaea
Description: partial 16S ribosomal RNA
Rfam family: Archaeal small subunit ribosomal RNA
Source: RNAcentral
CUACGGGUGGCACCAGCUGAGGAUCUUUUACAAUGCACGCAAGUGUGAUAAAGCGAGCCAGAGUGUUGUUCUUAGAACAACUUUUGUUUACUGUAAAAAGGCAGACGAAUAAGGACUGGGUAAGACCGGUGCCAGCCGCCGCGGUAAUACCGGCGGUCCAAGUUGCAUCCAUUUUUAUUAGGUCUAAAACAUCCGUAGCUUGUUUUGUAAGUUUCUUGUGAAAUCUUAUGUCUCAAACAUGAGGCUUGCAAGAAAUACUGCAUUGCUAGAGACCGGAAGACGUAAGGAGUAUGAUUGAGGUAGCGGUAAAAUGCGUUAAUCUUAAUCAGACUAACAAUGGCGAAGGCACCUUACGAGUACGGAUCUGACAGUGAGGGAUGAAGGCUAGGGGCGCAAAACGGAUUAGAUACCCGGGUAGUC